RNAcentral lists this ribosomal RNA (253 nucleotides) under uncultured bacterium. RNAcentral describes it as "partial 16S ribosomal RNA". It matches the Rfam family "Bacterial small subunit ribosomal RNA", at positions 524 to 776 of the family's 1533-position model. The record is from RNAcentral.
UACAGAGGGGGCAAGCGUUGUUCGGAAUUACUGGGCGUAAAGGGCGCGUAGGCGGCCCGCUAAGUCGAACGUGAAAUCCCCAGGCUCAACCUGGGAACUGCGUCCGAUACUGGCAGGCUUGAAUCCGGGAGAGGGAUGUGGAAUUCCAGGUGUAGCGGUGAAAUGCGUAGAUAUGACAUAGAACACCAAUUGCGAAGGCAGCUUACUACACAGUAAUUGACACUGAGGCACGAAAGCGUGGGGAUCAAACAGG